AAGUUCUCUGUUUCCUCUCCCAGACUUCAGAUGUCCAGACCUGACCCUGAAAAGGUCCAUUUUCCUGCUUCUUCUUCUUCUUCUUCUUCUUCUUCUCUGGUCCUCCAGGAGAUUCUCCGUCAGUUUGGAGGGAACGCCGUCCGGUGACCCCUCACUCUGAUGGCGUCUGACGGCUGAAGCGGGUGGAGGCGUGAGGUAAUUGCAGCCCAUUUGUAGCUCGACAGCUGGGCAGAAUUCAGGAUUGCCAUUUGGCGUGGAGUGGAGGGGAGGAGACGCCACAUGUUCUAUUAAAAUGUGAUGAUCCUGGCUCCCGCCGCGCCGCGCCUCCACCCGGUUUGAUGUCCCGCUCUUUAGGGCCUUAAUGGGAGACGACUCUGUCACAGUUCAGGACGGGUGUGUACACAGAGCUGGCUGCCUGUUUUGUGUGUGUGUGUGUGUGUGUGUGUGUGUGUGUGUGUGUGUGUGUGUGUGUGUGUGUGCGUGCGGGCGCUGUUGUUUGUGUCCAGAUGUUGUCGGUCGGGUCGCCUCGGGACGACAAACUGUCACUCGUUUUGUUUUAUUUAAGAGACGUGAGAGCGAGACGCCGUGGACAACAAGCUAACAGGAAGAAGGUGACGGAGAGACGGACGCCGCUGUCAGACUGUCACUUUGAGUCAGCCAUGUUGGAUCUGAGGAGGAGGAGGAGGAGGAGGAGGAGGCGCAGAUGGUGUUUCAAAUGGAAGAUUUGUCCAAGAUGUCGACUCACUUAAGCGUCUAAAUGUGUCGUCAGGUCGUCUCACGUCAGAAACAGCAGAGCGCCACGGCAGCACGCCAUCGGAACUUUAAUCAGAGUCAAAACUGAGGGGGACCGUCAGAACCGGGUCUGUGUGGAGGGUUCUGCUCAGACCAGAGACUGGGUUUAAACAGACGAGGUUCUGCUCACCUGAGACAGAGAAGGACCGCUGAGACGGACCUGAUCGGAGACAGGAACCCGUGUCCCUGAUGUCCUCGUCGUGGGUCAGACUGUAGACCUGCAGAGACCACAUCCAUGAACCAGAGAAACAGAAGGGGGCGGGGUCCACAGAGACAUACCGACCCGUCCUCCAGGUUCUGGUAAAGUCCG
Molecule: non-coding RNA, 1102 nt
Organism: Xyrichtys novacula (pearly razorfish)
Lineage: Eukaryota; Metazoa; Chordata; Actinopteri; Labriformes; Labridae
Source: the annotation of a GenBank genome assembly